Molecule: transfer RNA, 74 nt
Filed under: bacterium
Lineage: Bacteria
Also listed under: 2 other names
Description: tRNA-Arg
Rfam family: tRNA
About the family: Transfer RNA (tRNA) molecules are approximately 80 nucleotides in length. Their secondary structure includes four short double-helical elements and three loops (D, anti-codon, and T loops).
Source: RNAcentral
GGGCCUAUAGCUCAGUUGGAUAGAGCGACGGUUUCCUAAACCGUAGGUCACAGGUUCAAAUCCUGUUAGGCCCA